Fukomys damarensis (Damara mole-rat) is the source of this 832-nucleotide long non-coding RNA. RefSeq lists it as uncharacterized. The transcript has 3 exons. NCBI's taxonomy places the organism in Eukaryota, Metazoa, Chordata, Mammalia, Rodentia, Bathyergidae. The record is from RefSeq and is a predicted model, not a curated record.
GUCUCGAUAGCCUCGAACUCACAGUGACCCUACUGUGCGCUGGGAGCACAGGCGUGCGCCACAGCUGGGCUAAAUGGCAAGUGCUCUGUGCUCACGGUUAGCAGAGAGGGUCAGGGAUCCUCGUAAACACAAGUUUCACAAUCAUGGGCUGAUCUCGUUCUGCCCCAGGACUUCACAGAGCUGGGAUCUCUUCAGGCCAUGCUGCGUGCCUGCUUUCUUUGUGUCAGAAUAGAACCUGCCCUGAAAUUUACUCCAGACGGACCUAAGGCCUACACGCCAUAGCUAAAGCUAUAAAACUCUGAACACAAGGCACGCAGGAGAGCCCGUGACAGCACAUCUGCCAGUGCUUCCUCCACAUGAUGCCAAAAGGACAGGCAACAACAACAAAAAAGGAGAUUCCACAGGAGAACCAGCAACCUCGGCAGUGCACACCAACCAGGAGGCAGAUCACCAGUUCCUCCUCCGCCGGCCUCCAAACCCGGCCUCUCCUGUUUCUCAUCUGGUGACACGGGGCCUGGAGUGAGAGGGAAUCCUCGGGCGCAGGCCUUGGCAAGUUCGGAGCCCGCGGGCCUCUGUGGGGACCCGAGAGGAGACUCUGCCUUCUCCUAGGCCCGCCAGCUUCCUCCCUUCGCCUUCAGGCUCGACCAGCAUCGUGCAGUGAACUAUUCUGCAGCAUUGGAAAUGUUCUCCGGUCCAAGGAUUUGACCAACUGUGGAUCAAAAAUACUCAAAACAAAUGCGUCUGUACUGAACGUGUACUGACAUUUCGUUUUCUUCUCACUAUUCCCUAAAUAGGGCCAAAUGCAGUGGUGCAAACCUGUAAUGCCAGCACU